UACGGAGGGUGCGAGCGUUGUUCGGAAUCACUGGGCGUAAAGCGCGUGUAGGCGGCCUGCUAAGUCUGAUGUGAAAGCCCGGGGCUCACCCUCGGAAGUGCAUUGGAAACUGGCAGACUGGAGUCCCGGAGAGGAGGGUGGAAUUCCUGGUGUAGCGGUGAAAUGCGUAGAUAUCAGGAGGAACACCGGUGGCGAAGGCGGCCCUCUGGACGGUGACUGACGCUGAGACGCGAAAGCGUGGGGAGCAAACAGG
RNAcentral lists this ribosomal RNA (253 nucleotides) under uncultured bacterium. RNAcentral's name for it is "partial 16S ribosomal RNA". It matches the Rfam family "Bacterial small subunit ribosomal RNA", at positions 524 to 776 of the family's 1533-position model. The record is from RNAcentral.